RNAcentral lists this ribosomal RNA (259 nucleotides) under uncultured prokaryote. RNAcentral describes it as "partial 16S ribosomal RNA". It matches the Rfam family "Bacterial small subunit ribosomal RNA", at positions 524 to 782 of the family's 1533-position model. The record is from RNAcentral.
UACGUAGGAUCCAAGCGUUAUCCGGAUUUAUUGGGUUUAAAGGGUGCGCAGGCGGAAGAUUAAGUCGGCGGUGAAAUUUUGCAGCUCAACUGUAAAAGUGCCAUCGAUACUGGUUUUCUUGAGUGUGGAUGAAGUAGGCGGAAUUUGUGGUGUAGCGGUGAAAUGCAUAGAUAUCACGAGGAACUCCGAUUGCGCAGGCAGCUUACUAGGCCAUAACUGACGCUCAGGCACGAAGGCGUGGGGAUCAAACAGGAUUAGA